AUUGAACGCUGGCGGCAGGCCUAACACAUGCAAGUCGAGCGGAUGAAGGGAGCUUGCUCCUGGAUUCAGCGGCGGACGGGUGAGUAAUGCCUAGGAAUCUGCCUGGUAGUGGGGGAUAACGUCCGGAAACGGGCGCUAAUACCGCAUACGUCCUGCGGGAGAAAGUGGGGGAUCUUCGGACCUCACGCUAUCAGAUGAGCCUAGGUCGGAUUAGCUAGUUGGUGGGGUAAAGGCCUACCAAGGCGACGAUCCGUAACUGGUCUGAGAGGAUGAUCAGUCACACUGGAACUGAGACACGGUCCAGACUCCUACGGGAGGCAGCAGUGGGGAAUAUUGGACAAUGGGCGAAAGCCUGAUCCAGCCAUGCCGCGUGUGUGAAGAAGGUCUUCGGAUUGUAAAGCACUUUAAGUUGGGAGGAAGGGCAGUAUGUUAAUACCUUGCUGUUUUGACGUUACCAACAGAAUAAGCACCGGCUAACUUCGUG
This 484-nucleotide ribosomal RNA is filed under the name uncultured bacterium. RNAcentral describes it as "partial 16S ribosomal RNA". It matches the Rfam family "Bacterial small subunit ribosomal RNA", at positions 30 to 507 of the family's 1533-position model. The record is from RNAcentral.